This 301-nucleotide ribosomal RNA is filed under the name uncultured bacterium. Its description in RNAcentral is "partial 16S ribosomal RNA". It matches the Rfam family "Bacterial small subunit ribosomal RNA", at positions 509 to 807 of the family's 1533-position model. The record is from RNAcentral.
CAGCAGCCGCGGGAAUACGGAGGAUCCAAGCGUUAUCCGGAAUCAUUGGGUUUAAAGGGUCCGUAGGCGGUCUUGUAAGUCAGUGGUGAAAGCCCAUCGCUCAACGGUGGAACGGCCAUUGAUACUGCAGGACUUGAAUUAUUGGGAAGUAACUAGAAUAUGUAGUGUAGCGGUGAAAUGCUUAGAGAUUACAUGGAAUACCAAUUGCGAAGGCAGGUUACUACCAAUUGAUUGACGCUGAUGGACGAAAGCGUGGGUAGCGAACAGGAUUAGAUACCCCGGUAGUCCCUGUCUCUUAUAC